This 578-nucleotide ribosomal RNA is filed under the name Streptomyces sp. ACM8. RNAcentral's name for it is "bacterial SSU rRNA". It matches the Rfam family "Bacterial small subunit ribosomal RNA", at positions 24 to 621 of the family's 1533-position model. The record is from RNAcentral. Lineage: Bacteria; Bacillati; Actinomycetota; Actinomycetes; Kitasatosporales; Streptomycetaceae.
UCAGGACGAACGCUGGCGGCGUGCUUAACACAUGCAAGUCGAACGAUGAAGCCUUCGGGUGGAUUAGUGGCGAACGGGUGAGUAACACGUGGGCAAUCUGCCCUGCACUCUGGGACAAGCCCUGGAAACGGGGUCUAAUACCGGAUGACACUGUUCCCCUCAUGGGGAGCGGUUGAAAGCUCCGGCGGUGCAGGAUGAGCCCACGGCCUAUCAGCUUGUUGGUGGGGUAAUGGCCUACCAAGGCGACGACGGGUAGCCGGCCUGAGAGGGCGACCGGCCACACUGGGACUGAGACACGGCCCAGACUCCUACGGGAGGCAGCAGUGGGGAAUAUUGCACAAUGGGCGAAAGCCUGAUGCAGCGACGCCGCGUGAGGGAUGACGGCCUUCGGGUUGUAAACCUCUUUCAGCAGGGAAGAAGCGAAAGUGACGGUACCUGCAGAAGAAGCGCCGGCUAACUACGUGCCAGCAGCCGCGGUAAUACGUAGGGCGCAAGCGUUGUCCGGAAUUAUUGGGCGUAAAGAGCUCGUAGGCGGUCUGUCACGUCGGGUGUGAAAGCCCGGGGCUUAACCCCGGGUC